RNAcentral lists this long non-coding RNA (307 nucleotides) under Androctonus crassicauda. The record is from RNAcentral. Lineage: Eukaryota; Metazoa; Arthropoda; Arachnida; Scorpiones; Buthidae.
UAAUGAUAAAGAAUCCCGCCAUCUUAGUCGAGGUUGUCAACAAUUCAAUGUCACAAAAUGCGUGUAUUUCGUUGAUGGAUUUUACUGCCACGGAAAAGUUGAAUUCUUCUAAACACGGGACGGUAGCAGUAUUUACGCUGCAGUAUGAUAUCAAAGCUAGGCUACUUUUGUCUGACAGGUAUUUUCUGCCGCGAUUCCGUGCUAGUGGGAACCAACUUUUAGUCGCAGUCAUCGAGUUACGGUGACAGUAGUCUCCAUAUUUUUAUAUUUAAUCAUUACUUUUCAUUAUUUACUUUAAUCAUUAUUU